RNAcentral lists this ribosomal RNA (488 nucleotides) under uncultured bacterium. Its description in RNAcentral is "bacterial SSU rRNA". It matches the Rfam family "Bacterial small subunit ribosomal RNA", at positions 25 to 507 of the family's 1533-position model. The record is from RNAcentral.
CAGAUUGAACGCUGGCGGCAUGCCUUACACAUGCAAGUCGAACGGCAGCACGGACUUCGGUCUGGGUGGCGAGUGGCGAACGGGUGAGUAAUGCAUCGGAACGUGCCAUUGAGUGGGGGAUAACGUAGCGAAAGUUGCGCUAAUACCGCAUAUUCUGUGAGCAGGAAAGCAGGGGACCGCAAGGCCUUGCGCUCUUUGAGCGGCCGAUGUCAGAUUAGCUAGUUGGUGAGGUAAAGGCUUACCAAGGCGACGAUCUGUAGCGGGUCUGAGAGGAUGAUCCGCCACACUGGAACUGAGACACGGUCCAGACUCCUACGGGAGGCAGCAGUGGGGAAUUUUGGACAAUGGGGGCAACCCUGAUCCAGCCAUGCCGCGUGAGUGAAGAAGGCCUUCGGGUUGUAAAGCUCUUUCGGCCGGGAAGAAAUCGCAUGGGCCAAUACCCUGUGUGGAUGACGGUACCGGAAUAAGAAGCACCGGCUAACUACGUG